RNAcentral lists this ribosomal RNA (429 nucleotides) under uncultured bacterium. RNAcentral's name for it is "bacterial SSU rRNA". It matches the Rfam family "Bacterial small subunit ribosomal RNA", at positions 355 to 775 of the family's 1533-position model. The record is from RNAcentral.
UGGGGAAUUGUUCGCAAUGGGCGCAAGCCUGACGACGCAACGCCGCGUGGAGGACGAAGAUUUUCGGAUCGUAAACUCCUUUCGAUCGGGAAGAAUGGCUUCGGGGCGAAUACCCCUGGAGAGUGACGGUACCGAGAGAAGAAGCCCCGGCUAACUCCGUGCCAGCAGCCGCGGUAAUACGGGGGGGGCAAGCGUUGUUCGGAAUUACUGGGCGUAAAGGGCUCGUAGGCGGCCAACUAAGUCCGACGUGAAAUCCCAAGGCUUAACCUUGGAACUGCGUCGGAUACUGGAUGGCUUGAAUUCGGGAGAGGGAUGCAGAAUUCCAGGUGUAGCGGUGAAAUGCGUAGAUAUCUGGAGGAAUACCGGUGGCGAAGGCGGCAUCCUGGACCGACAUUGACGCUGAUGAGCGAAAGCUAGGGGAGCAAACGG